Zea mays is the source of this 2666-nucleotide RNA transcript. It is a transcript of the gene named transmembrane pseudogene, with no coding region annotated. The transcript has 10 exons. Lineage: Eukaryota; Viridiplantae; Streptophyta; Magnoliopsida; Poales; Poaceae. The record is from RefSeq and is marked validated.
CGUCGCCCCAGCCUCCCUCCCCUCCCCGGCUCCCCCGAUUUCAGCUGCCCCCGAACUCCGUCCCCUGUUGUCCCUACCUCGAUUCUGCCGCCGCAAACGCCGAUGUGAGUCGUCCGAUCCCACCCGCAAACGCCGCUCCCCGCCUCGAGGCUCGCCGGAACGGACGCCUGGAUACCGCGGCCGCAACCCACCGCCGCGCAGGGAGGUUGCGCCCGCACUAAAAUGGAGCACAGGGAGGCUUUGCCCCCCACAACUCGGAGGACGUGUGCAGGCCGGAGGGCAUGGGGGAACUCGUGUUGAGGUCUAUGCAUCAACAUCUUCUUCAAGGCUAUAAGAAUGUUGGGGGGUUGUACAACUCCAUAGCUUGGUGAUCACGGUGGAGGACUACAACAGCUCCCGCAGAAGGCCUGCCAGCUUGUUCGCCAUGGACCUCAACCACAACAAGCUCGAUCUCUUCUACUGACUGCUGGUGUGCAUCAGCACCGUCAACCUUCAUGCAUCCCCUAGUUCAUGUACCGGUACUUUGGCCGCGGCAGAGUCGACAUCUGAGAUAUAUGAGGCCUUGGAAUUGAGGAAUGGUGGAUCUGAUUAUUUUGUCAAGGGUGUUCUUAAGAUAUUGCUAAAGGAGGUGCUCGCAGGGAGGAGGACCUCAACGUGGUGGGCAUACUUUGCAGGGUGCAGAGAUACUGUCCAAGGAAGGAAUCAGUGCUGAGGUAAUUCCUUUUGUAAACGUUAUAGUUUCACUGAUCAGUGCACGCACCCAGUUACAAGUCGGAUUCCACGUGCCCACGCCGUCCGCGCAAGUUUGCAUCAAAGCGCUGGGGAGGAUGGAAUGGCAGAUUUGCAUUAAACCAGCGACACCACUUCAUAACCAGCAGGCAGGCAACACACUCCUUCAGAUCGGUGGGAUGUUCGAAAAAGAUAAGCCCUUGUAACCUUUGUAUGCAUAGUAGGCAAUCCUUGUGUAGUAGAACCCAGGGAUGAACAUUACAAUGCCCAACAUCAUGAAGAAAAUUCCUGAUACAACAUAAAGGGCCAUAAGUUUAGGUAAAGGGAGUGAAAAUAUUCAUGCAUAAGCACUGCAUUUCAUUUGAAUAAGUACUUAACUAAAACUGCUAUAUGAAAGGGUUCAAAAUGCAUCAGUACUUGAAAGGUGAAUCAGCAUCCAUGCAAAUUAUCAAGCCUGUGCGAGCAAAUCACAACUUGUUCUAAUCAACAAGCAGUUUAGUGCAAAUCACAACUUGUUCUUAAUAUUCCCCUAUCAUAGGCUUCUAGCGUGGAGUAUGAAAAUAUGUGAUAUAUAUUGUGGUGGUAUUGUUUUCUGAUGAAAUGAAUAUUAUUACCCCAUAAGUGGACACAGGCCAGUUGAACCAAUACGAACCCGAUCAACUACAUCGAUGCAUCACCAACCCAAGCAUCCCAAUCCAAACAACUUGUAAUUUGAAACUAGAGGUACAUUAUAGUACCCCUUUUCUUUUUAGGGAACUAGACUAUUAAGGAACACCUUUUCUCUAGUGGGGUACAAGACUAAUAUAAUCAGUUUGUGUGACCCGCCUGAAAACUAUGUUCUGUUAUCAGUAUUUUGUGCCGUCACAAUUCAGUUAGCAGCAUGCAUGUUCAAUUGUUGGUGUCUUUGUUAAGUUUGAGUAGAAAAGCUCAAUCUAGCAUGCUCUUCGCUCUGUUUUACUUUCCAUGAUUCGUUGAUUAUCUAUGCAGUUUCUGCACGAUUACUAUGAGUAUGUGCUUUCAUAUAUUGUUUACUCGAUGACUUGAAUAGUUUACAACGUAUGAUUAUUGCUUAGGACCCUGCACUACUAAAUCAGGGGACUCGCUUGAGUCAGAAAAACUUAGGAACCAAGUUUUCUCUCUAAGUUACUGACUUCAUUUUCUACUGUUUAUAGAUUGCGAACUGAAUUUAAAUCAAAUACUUCAGUAUUGGUCUCUAGAGAGGAAGCUCUGCCAACCAUUACUAAUAACUGAGAAGGAUUUGGCAAUCGCUUAUCUUUGACUCAAUACCUUAUGACCUCGGAAAGGUUUGAACCCGUCAGGGACUAAAGAUGCCAAAGGUUGAAGAAGGGUCACGAGCAAAGAGGGCAUUUACUAUCCUUUGCAAUCUUCACCGUUGGAAGGAUUAUGAUAACUGCAAUUUCAUUUCUUCUUGGAUAUGAGCUCCACAAGAGGAUGAGACCCCUCUCUUCGCCAUAUGUAUAGGACCUACCUUCUUGACAUGACCUAUGCAUCCAAAAGUUCUGAGAUGACCCACUUGUGGUUUACUGCCAUGCCAUGCCUCAUAUGGAGUUUUCCCUUGCACACUUCUUGGCAAUAUUAUAUAUGAGGAGGUACCUAGACCAUCUAAUCAGAUUCGUACACUAAUUGAUGCUAUUGGCUAUGUUAUUCCUUGGCUAAUUACACAUGUGAAGCAAGCUAGAAGCUCAUCUUGUACCCGCAACAAGUUGAUACCUGCAGCACGUGGACAAAGCUAGAUGGCGUGGACAAAGCUAGAUGGGAAGCCUAGUAUAAUUGCAAAGUGAAUCAGUUAGAUUCUAGUAGUUACUAAAAUUUUUAAGUGAUAUUUGUAUGAUAUUGCCACUUUGGCUUUGCUUCUUUGUGAACACAAUUGGCAGUUACUGAACAUGUUUGCUAUCGAGUUAGUUAGCUUCUUGAUA